This 1262-nucleotide long non-coding RNA is filed under the name Salvia miltiorrhiza (redroot sage). Its description in RNAcentral is "long non-coding RNA (SMIL_LNC004098)". Lineage: Eukaryota; Viridiplantae; Streptophyta; Magnoliopsida; Lamiales; Lamiaceae. The record is from RNAcentral.
GAUUUAAUUUUAAUAUUAGCAUGUUUGUGUCGCCGGUGGGGGAGAGGCGAAUAGCAUGUUAAUUGUAUAACCAUGAUUAUUUGUGUUGAGCAUGAUUUAAUUUUAAUAUUAGCAUGCUUGUAUCGCCGGUGGGGGAGAGGCGAUUUUGUGUUGGACUCAGUUUGAAUUUUAUUGAACUAUUUUUUAUGUUGUUGGUGGAUGGUGAUGAAUUUGGAGAUUUGGGAAAUUUGAGAGCUUAGUAGAUUAUAAUUGUUUGAACAAUAUUCAGGAUGAGUUUUAACCGGGAAUGGAUGUAUACACCUAUCCCAGAGCUUGAGAUGCAUACGUAUGAAAUCCUUAAAUUAAGUUAUCACAAAUUCAUCUUUAUGUAUCUAUACUUAAUGAUUAACUUAUAAAGUUUUUAUUAACUACAAAAACAAGCCCAAGUGACUGCCAAGGCUGCAGAGCUAUCUCAAUCUCGGUCAAAUGAUGGCUCUGAGCCUUAGGAGGUAGACAUGAACAGGUUACUACUGGAUGCAGUUGGAGGCGUAUCGGUGAAGAAGCGAGUUUUUGGGAUUGGUUCAUGUUCUCAUGCUUACACCUCCACCUCUAGAUCCAACCAAGGAGCCAGUUUUAGCUCACAGCCUCAGCUUGAUGCAGUUUUAGCCGAUAAGAUGAAGGAGUACGAGGCCGGAAGCUCAGAUGCAGGCUAAGAUGGAGGCUAGAGAGGCGCAGAUACGAGAGGAGGCACAAGCUAGAGAGGCUCAUAUGCAUGCAGACGUACAGGCACAGUUGCAGGCACAGCAAGCCGAGUUCAUGAAGAUGCUAGCUGAGAUGAGGAAUCAACCACCCCCUUGAUUAUGUUUGUUUUAGGAACUUGAAUUUAUUUUGCUAGGUGCUAACUUAACUAGAAUUUGGAUUGUUAGAUACUUUGUUGAUUAUCGUUGACUGCUGGUUAUAUUUUAAAGUUUAUCUAUUAUGUUGAAUGAUGAAAGUAUUAGAAUACAGGUAAAUAACAAAAUUGAAAAAAAACAAAAUUGGGAAUUUUAGCGAAAGAAAUUCUGUCUACAAAAUAAAAAUAAAAAAAAUAAAAAAAAUGAAAAAAAAUCUAACGACGGAAAUUCCGUCUCAAAAGAACGGCGGCGACGUCGGAAAGUGAUCGUUGGAAAAUCUAACGACGGAAUCCUUUCUGUCUCAACUAGAGAAGGAAUUUUCGUCUCUGUUUCCGUCUCAAAAUUUGGUCAAUACAGACGACCACCAGUUGGGUAGAGACGGAAUUUUCG